Vigna angularis (adzuki bean) is the source of this 334-nucleotide long non-coding RNA. RefSeq lists it as uncharacterized. NCBI's taxonomy places the organism in Eukaryota, Viridiplantae, Streptophyta, Magnoliopsida, Fabales, Fabaceae. The record is from RefSeq and is a predicted model, not a curated record. The transcript is spliced from 2 exons.
GCCUCUCGGGAUUCUUUUCUUUCGCAGCAUCGUAGUUUUGUUGCUCCGGUAGCCACUGUCUGAGACAAGUAAGAAGAGAAACAUCAUUAUGGAGGAGAUAGCAACAUUAAUGGCAUUAUCCAGAUAGUAUUCCUCAAAGUUUUCUUGCAUAGGCUCUUAUACUACUACUCAUCUUGUUCUUUGUGAACGAAAAAAUUGCUUUGUGUAAUUAGCAUAUUAAUUUACAUGCGUAUGUUUUGGUUAAUUUGAAAAUAUAUAUCUUUAUUUUGUGUUUAGUUGUUGUUGGAACCCAUUCUGAGUUAUGUCUAUAAAUAUUGGUGAGAUUUGAUAUCCA